GGAACCUCUCUCCCUGUCUCUGGAUAGAAGUACCUCUAUUCCUGAUUUUUCCAAUUGUGUGUUCUACCUGGACUCCUGUGAUCAUAUCAUCGAACAAAAGGACUUAAAAAAAGCAGUUUGAACUGUAAGGCCAGUCUUUAGGUCUGAAGGACAAUAGUCUCUGCCUGGAAAGGGUGUGGUGGUGGAAUAAAAGACUCUUUAAUAGCUGGUCAAAGUGCUGAAAUUAUACAUGGAGAGAGGCUUAUUCAAGGAAAAGAAAGGCAGAGGAUUGACAGACAUUUUUGGAGCACAUGACAAAUGGGUCAAAAAACUACAGAAAUACUUUUGGAAAAAGCAAACACCGCCCAACAUUAGUAAAUGCAGAUAACAAGUAUAUUCCACUGGAUUUCUCCAAAGUAGCCAGAAGCGGUUUACUUCUGGAUGGAAUCUAUGAAAUGACUGAGAUCAUAGACUGACAGACAUCAAAAGCACAAAUGACAUCGCAUAAAAGGCACCAACAAUCUUAACAAUGAAACUUCAAAAAAUUGGGUGAGUCAUGUAGUUUUUCAUAGU
This is a long non-coding RNA of Monodelphis domestica (gray short-tailed opossum), 552 nucleotides long. RefSeq lists it as uncharacterized. The record is from RefSeq and is a predicted model, not a curated record. NCBI's taxonomy places the organism in Eukaryota, Metazoa, Chordata, Mammalia, Didelphimorphia, Didelphidae.